UCAGAAGUUGUACUCGUUCGUCACCGUUCAUCGCUGUCCGUCGCCAUGCUCUCACAACUCAAACUGUCGUCAUUAAGGUAUGCUUAGGGAUAAGUUACAGUAUAUGUUGCAUUAUAGCUCACAUUAUAAAAGUUUGAAAAAUUGAAUUUGCAAAAUUGAUUUAAAUUAGAAGGCUAUAUCAUCUAUUUAUCCAGGAUACAACAGAGUAUAAGAGAAUGGUCAAGCUACAGGCAAAGCAGUACCCCUUAUUCUCUAGUACUACUAUCAGCUUAAUUAAGAAACUAUAUAUUCUUAGUGUGGUAGAUGUUUGUUGGUUCCUUCUAUUGUUUUUGAUUUAUAGGUGAGAAUGGAAUAGGGAUUAUAGAGCUUGUAGGCUCCUGUUUUUAGUGAAGAUGCUAAAUAUUACUUACAACAUUUGAUAUCUAAGCUAUCUCCAUUAUGAAAUCAUGAAAUCUGCUAUUUUGUUGUUAACCAUUGCAACUUUUCUUUUGUGUUAGAGUUAUUUAAUGGUGUCUUAUUCUCAUAAUAAUUAUACUUGGCAGUUUAAUGUGGCCUGAUCUUUAACAUUUGUAACAUUUAAGAUGAUAUAGGGCAAGAAUGGACUUUUGUGCAGGCUAAAUCCGAAAAUGUGCAGAAUGUGUGUGACAUAGUCAAGAAACAAUUGUCCCUGCUAGAAUAUUCAAAUGUUAUCGGAGAGUCUAAAUUUACUACACUUGUGAAGUUAGUUAUCUACUGGUAUUUCAUUAUCUCAUUUUUCUAAUGUUCUGAAGAUUAUUAUCUCCUUUAAAAUGAACUAAAAUCUAGUUAUUAUUAUGAAAAAAGGGAAUAGUCUCCUAUAUAUAUUUGACAAAAGUGAAGUUACUUAUCUCUUGAUAAAUUCAUGUGCUUGCAGUACCCUUUAAAUCAUAUUUAAUAAUUUUUAUUUUUUUAAAUUCUUCUACUUUAAGUAUGUUCUUAUAUUCAGUAUUACCUUAUUAUCAGAUAUUUUAAGGGUUUCUGGAAAGAAUGGAUUGAUGCAAAACCAAGGGCAUAGUGACUAUGACAGAGUGCAGUUUGGAAGUUUGAAGCCUAAUCUUAUGUCUUCUUUAGACACUACAAAAAAAAAUUACUGGCCGGAACAAAUUGUCACAUGAAGUCUUUUAAUUCUGUUCUACAAUUCUAUAUAAUGAUCAUUGUUCUCCACUGCUCGUUCUAAUGAAGCAACGACAUAAACACAGGACAUGAUGCUAACAAAUAGAAUCACAGAUACCAUAUUAGUAACAAUUUGAGAAAACAAAAGUGAUUGAAUGUAACUAUAUAUGUCGGUGUCAAACAGCGACAUGUCAUACACUAGACAUGCCUUUAAUAAAAAGUGUACAUGCUACAUUACAUAAUGUAUAAACCAUUGUAAAAAGACACAAAAUAACAUUUGAUCCGUUUACCUACACUUUUUGUACAGUUUUUGAAACAAAUAUGCUAUAACAUGUUUCUUUUCAUUCAUGUACUAAUAUUCCCAUUCCAUUUCUUUUAUAUUCUAAGAGGUUAAGUCCAAUCUUACAUAAGGGGUUUGUUGAAGCACAGGGACUAAAUGUGUAUUGGCUAAUCUUUUAGCUACUUGAUAUUUGAACUAGACAUACACAUGUCUUGAUGAUCCUGUUAUUUUUGUUUCUCUUUCUCUCAUUUUAAGUUGGAGCUAGAACUUAUUUCUCUCUAUAUGACAUACAUUUCUUGAACUUGGAGAAUAGUUCAUUAUGUUUGAUGCAACAGCUACACUGGAUGCAUUCAAAACUGUAAGGGGCUAAAAACUUACCAUUUCCUGGUCUUUUAUGGUUAGCAAAUAUUAUCCUUUUGAAAUUUAAGAAAACACUUCAUGGUUCAAGUUUUAGAAUCUUUUGUUGUAAUCUAGAUUUUGCAAAUCUGAUGCAGGCUCAUACUCUUUUAAGAAAGGAGGUCAGGAAGUCCCAAUUGAAUUACUCAAUAAUAUUGGUGUCCUUGAGUCUUAAUAGCAAGAAUUUGAGGUUUGUACUACUAUUUCACACGCAAUAUUCCUCAUGUUAUGUCCCUUUCUCAGCUCACUUACCAUAGUUAGGUUUCUUAUAUAGUAAAGUUAGGAAAGCUUACCAUAUUCGAUUGUAGAAAUAUCCAUGGAAGAAUUAGCUCCUCUUUUUAUGUAUGUGACAUUGUGACUCAAAUUUGAAUUUUAAACUAUUAAUUAUCUUUGCAUUCCUUAAUAUAAUUCUCACAUUAUUUGUAGUCACAAUCUUCUACUAAGAGUGGUCUAUUUAACAAAAUAUAUUACUAUAAUCUUCUACAAAAUUUAUUAGUGCCAAAAUUAUCAUGUUAUAAUGUGGGGUGAUUUUGUAGUAUUAAGUAUCUAACUAUUGUGGUUGCUAUUUGAAAUUUUUAGCCCUUACAACUAAAUUUGUGAUCUCAGAUGCAACAUUAGCUGGAGACACUUCUUUUUUUUUUGGAACUGAGCUGGAGACACUUCUAGUUGAAAGAGCUCUCUUUUAGCUAAUGAGAACGAGACAUACUUUGCAUUAUGGGAUUAUAAGCAUAAUUUAAGAGAAUGAUCUUGAUCCAAUGCACAACCAGCUAGAGAUACUUCCAUUAUUCAUUACUAGUUUUCUGCUUUUUUCAGUACAGAUGUUCGGUAUUCUCCCUGAGCUAUUUGCGUUAUGUGCUUGAAGUUAGCUUGCUGUCACGCUUGGAAUUGUGGACUGAUGCUUCUGUAGUGUUUCUUGUUCCCUGCUCUUUUGUAGUCUAUUGAUAUACAUCAUAGGUUUGGUAGGUGUUUGUGGAAUGUUGGUUUGUUUAUUCGAGUUACACUACUAGACAUGUGUUAUUGGGGUGCUUUUUCUAAUUUUGGGGUAGAUUGUUAAUUAGUGGGGGGCCAAGUAGUGUUCUCGAUAUGUUGGUUGUGUUCUCAGAUUUGUCUUGUACUCGGAUCAAUUUUGUUUAUGAAAUGAAUUAAUGUAUUU
This 2960-nucleotide long non-coding RNA is filed under the name Trifolium pratense (red clover). RNAcentral describes it as "long non-coding RNA (TPRA_LNC003678)". The record is from RNAcentral. Lineage: Eukaryota; Viridiplantae; Streptophyta; Magnoliopsida; Fabales; Fabaceae.